GCCUGGGUGGCUCAGUCAGUUGAGCAUCUGACUUCGGCUGAGGUCAUGAUCUCACAGUCUGUGGGUUCGAGUCCCACGUCGGGCU
This is a non-coding RNA of Felis catus (domestic cat), 85 nucleotides long. Lineage: Eukaryota; Metazoa; Chordata; Mammalia; Carnivora; Felidae. The record is from Rfam.